Molecule: ribosomal RNA, 253 nt
Filed under: uncultured bacterium
Lineage: Bacteria
Description: partial 16S ribosomal RNA
Rfam family: Bacterial small subunit ribosomal RNA
Source: RNAcentral
UACAGAGGGGGCAAGCGUUAUUCGGAAUUAUUGGGCGUAAAGGGCGCGUAGGCGGCUAUUCAAGUGGCGGGUGAAAUCCCUCGGCUUAACCGAGGAACUGCCUGCCAGACUGGAUGGCUUGAGACCGGGAGAGGUGAGUGGAAUUCCAGGUGUAGCGGUGAAAUGCGUAGAGAUCCGGAGGAACCCCAGAGGCGAAGGCGGCGUCCUGGCUCGCAUCUGACGCUCAGACACGACAGCAUGGGGAGCGAACGGG